GAUGAAGAACGUAGCGAAAUGCGAUACGUAAUGUGAAUUGCAAAUUCAGUGAAUCAUCGAGUCUUUGAACGCACAUUGCGCCCCCUGGUAUUCCGGGGGGCAUGCCUGUCCGAGCGUCAUUGCUGCCCUCAAGCACGGCUUGUGUGUUGGGCCCCGUCCUCCGAUCCCGGGGGACGGGCCCGAAAGGCAGCGGCGGCACCGCGUCCGGUCCUCGAGCGUAUGGGGCUUUGUCACCCGCUCUGUAGGCCCGGCCGGCGCUUGCCGAUCAACCCAAAUUUUUAUCCAGGUUACCUCGGAUCAGGUAGGGAUACCCGCUGAACUUAAGCAUAUCAAUAAGCGGAGGA
Molecule: unclassified non-coding RNA, 344 nt
Filed under: soil metagenome
Description: partial contains 5.8S ribosomal RNA, internal transcribed spacer 2, and large subunit ribosomal RNA
Rfam family: 5.8S ribosomal RNA (bases 1-119)
Source: RNAcentral